RNAcentral lists this ribosomal RNA (468 nucleotides) under uncultured bacterium. RNAcentral describes it as "partial 16S ribosomal RNA". It matches the Rfam family "Bacterial small subunit ribosomal RNA", at positions 28 to 507 of the family's 1533-position model. The record is from RNAcentral.
GACGAACGCUGGCGGCGUGCUUAACACAUGCAAGUCGAACGGAAAGGCCCUGCUUUUGUGGGGUGCUCGAUUGGCGCACGGGGGAGUAACACGUGAGUAACCUGCCCCUGUAUUUGGGAUAACUUCAGGGAACUGCGGCUAAUAUCCGAUAGGAGCUCCUGCUGCAUGGUGGUGGUUGGAAAGUUUCGGCGGUUGGGGAUGGACUCGCGGCUUAUCAGCUUGUUGGUGGGGUAGUGGUUUACAAAGGCUUUGACGGGUAGCCGGCCUGGGAGGGUGGCCGGCCACAAUGGGACUGAGAUACGGACCAGACUCGUACGGGAGGCAGCAGUGGGGAAUAUUGCACAAUGGGCGGAAGCCUGUGGCAGAAACGCCGCGUGCGGGAUGACGGCUUUCGAGGGAUAAACCGCUGUCGCCUGUGACGAAGCGGGAGUGACGGUAAUGGGUAAAGAAGCACCGGCUAACUACGUG